AUAGUAAGAACUUUCUAGAGAUAGAUUGGUGUCUGCUUGCAGAAACUUAUAUACAGGUGCUGCACGGCUGUCGUCAGCUCGUGUCGUGAGAUGUUGGGUUAAGUCCCGCAACGAGCGCAACCCUCGUGUUUAGUUGCUAACAGUUCGGCUGAGAACUCUAAACAGACUGCCUACGCAAGUAGGAGGAAGGUGAGGACGACGUCAAGUCAUCAUGGCCCUUACGUCCAGGGCUACACACGUGCUACAAUGGGAUAUACAGAGGGUCGCAAAACCGCGAGGUCGAGCCAAUCCCAGAAAGUGCGUCUCAGUUCGGAUUGGAGUCUGGAACUCGACUCCAUGAAGGCGGAAUCGCUAGUAAUCGCGCAUCAGCCAUGGCGCGGUGAAUACGUUCCCGGACCUUGUACACACCGCCCGUCAAACCAUGGGAGCUGGGGGUGCCUGAAGACGGUGGCCAUAGAGGAGCUGUCUAAGGUAAAAUCAGUGACUGGGGUU
This 492-nucleotide ribosomal RNA is filed under the name uncultured bacterium. Its description in RNAcentral is "bacterial SSU rRNA". It matches the Rfam family "Bacterial small subunit ribosomal RNA", at positions 986 to 1482 of the family's 1533-position model. The record is from RNAcentral.